RNAcentral lists this ribosomal RNA (274 nucleotides) under uncultured bacterium. RNAcentral's name for it is "partial 16S ribosomal RNA". It matches the Rfam family "Bacterial small subunit ribosomal RNA", at positions 523 to 796 of the family's 1533-position model. The record is from RNAcentral.
AUACGGAGGGUGCAAGCGUUAUCCGGAAUCAUUGGGUUUAAAGGGUCCGUAGGCGGACUAAUAAGUCAGGGAUGAAAUCCCACAGCUUAACUGUGGAACUGCCUUUGAUACUGUUAGUCUUGAGUUAUAUGGAAGUAGAUAGAAUGUGUAGUGUAGCGGUGAAAUGCUUAGAGAUUACACAGAAUACCGAUUGCGAAGGCAGUCUACUACAUAUAUACUGACGCUAAUGGACGAAAGCGUGGGGAGCGAACAGGAUUAGAAACCCUAGUAGUCC